RNAcentral lists this ribosomal RNA (301 nucleotides) under uncultured bacterium. RNAcentral's name for it is "partial 16S ribosomal RNA". It matches the Rfam family "Bacterial small subunit ribosomal RNA", at positions 509 to 808 of the family's 1533-position model. The record is from RNAcentral.
CAGCAGCCGCGGUAAUACGUAGGUCCCGAGCGUUGUCCGGAUUUAUUGGGCGUAAAGCGAGCGCAGGCGGUUAGAUAAGUCUGAAGUUAAAGGCUGUGGCUUAACCAUAGUACGCUUUGGAAACUGUUUAACUUGAGUGCAAGAGGGGAGAGUGGAAUUCCAUGUGUAGCGGUGAAAUGCGUGGAUAUAUGGAGGAACACCGGUGGCGAAAGCGGCUUUCUGGCUUGUAACUGACGCUGAGGCUCGAAAGCGUGGGGAGCAAACAGGAUUAGAUACCCGUGUAGUCCCUGUCUCUUAUACC